AGAUUGAACGCUGGCGGCAGGCCUAACACAUGCAAGUCGAGCGGCAGCACGGGUACUUGUAUCUGGUGGCGAGCGGCGGACGGGUGAGUAAUGCCUAGGAAUCUGCCUGGUAGUGGGGGAUAACGCUCGGAAACGGACGCUAAUACCGCAUACGUCCUACGGGAGAAAGCAGGGGACCUUCGGGCCUUGCGCUAUCAGAUGAGCCUAGGUCGGAUUAGCUAGUUGGGUGGGUAAUGGCUCACCAAGGCGACGAUCCGUAACUGGUCUGAGAGGAUGAUCAGUCACACUGGAACUGAGACACGGUCCAGACUCCGUACGGGAGCAGCAGUGGGGAAUAGUUGGACAAGUGGGACGAAAGCCUGAUCCAGCCAUGCCGCGUGUGUAGAAGAAGGUCUUACGGUAUUAGUAAAGCUAACGUUUAAGGUUGGGAGGAAGGCAAGUUAACCUAAUACGUAUUCUUGUUUUGGCGUUACCGACAAGAAAUAAGACACCGGUACUUAACGUUGUCGCCAGCA
This 515-nucleotide ribosomal RNA is filed under the name uncultured soil bacterium. RNAcentral describes it as "bacterial SSU rRNA". It matches the Rfam family "Bacterial small subunit ribosomal RNA", at positions 26 to 513 of the family's 1533-position model. The record is from RNAcentral.